RNAcentral lists this microRNA (22 nucleotides) under Caenorhabditis briggsae. RNAcentral describes it as "Cbr-Mir-248-v2_5p* (star (passenger))". Lineage: Eukaryota; Metazoa; Nematoda; Chromadorea; Rhabditida; Rhabditidae. The record is from RNAcentral.
AGCGCUAUCCUUCCGUUGUAUU